This 375-nucleotide ribosomal RNA is filed under the name uncultured bacterium. Its description in RNAcentral is "bacterial SSU rRNA". It matches the Rfam family "Bacterial small subunit ribosomal RNA", at positions 523 to 898 of the family's 1533-position model. The record is from RNAcentral.
ACACGUAGGGGGCGAGCGUUGUCCGGAAUUACUGGGCGUAAAGGGUGCGUAGGCGGUCUGUUAAGUCGGAUGUGAAAGACCCGGGCUCAACCCGGGAUGUGCAUCUGAGACUGGCGGACUUGAGUGCAGGAGAGGGAAGUGGAAUUUCUAGUGUAGCGGUGGAAUGCGUAGAUAUUAGGAAGAACACCAGUGGCGAAGGCGGCUUUCUGGACUGUAACUGACGCUGAGGCACGAAAGCGUGGGGAGCGAACAGGAUUAGAUACCCUGGUAGUCCACGCCGUAAACGAUGGAUACUAGGUGUAGGUAUCGUAGGAUAUCUGUGCCGGAGUUAACGCAAUAAGUAUCCCGCCUGGGGAGUACGGCCGCAAGGUUGAA